This 213-nucleotide ribosomal RNA is filed under the name uncultured bacterium. RNAcentral describes it as "partial 16S ribosomal RNA". It matches the Rfam family "Bacterial small subunit ribosomal RNA", at positions 524 to 735 of the family's 1533-position model. The record is from RNAcentral.
GACAGAGGCCUCAAGCGUUAGGCGGAAUCACUGGGCUUAAAGCGUGUGUAGGCGGAUCGUUAAGUGUCUUGUGAAAUCCCACGGCUCACCCGUGGAACGGCUGGGCAUACUGGCGAAUCUUGGGCCAACUAGGGGCAACUGGAACAAGCGGUGGAGCGGUGAAAUGCGUAGAUAUCGCUUGGAACGCCGAAGGUGAAAACAGGUUGCUGGGGU